AGAGUUUGAUCAUGGCUCAGGAUGAACGCUAGCUACAGGCUUAACACAUGCAAGUCGAGGGGCAGCAUGUUGGUUGCUUGCAACCAAUGAUGGCGACCGGCGCACGGGUGAGUAACGCGUAUCCAACCUACCCUUGUCCAUCGGAUAACCCGUCGAAAGGCGGCCUAACACGAUAUGCGGUUCACAGCAGGCAUCUAAGGUGAACGAAAUGUGAAGGAGAAGGAUGGGGAUGCGUCUGAUUAGCUUGUUGGCGGGGUAACGGCCACCAAGGCUACGAUCAGUAGGGGGUUCUGAGAGGGAAGGUCCCCCANAUUGGAACUGAGACACGGUCCAAACUCCUACGGGAGGCA
RNAcentral lists this ribosomal RNA (350 nucleotides) under uncultured bacterium. RNAcentral's name for it is "bacterial SSU rRNA". It matches the Rfam family "Bacterial small subunit ribosomal RNA", at positions 8 to 350 of the family's 1533-position model. The record is from RNAcentral.